RNAcentral lists this unclassified non-coding RNA (305 nucleotides) under plant metagenome. RNAcentral describes it as "partial contains 5.8S ribosomal RNA, internal transcribed spacer 2, and large subunit ribosomal RNA". The stretch from base 1 to 105 matches the Rfam family "5.8S ribosomal RNA", at positions 50 to 154 of the family's 154-position model. The record is from RNAcentral.
GAAAUGCGAUAAGUAGUGUGAAUUGCAGAAUUCAGUGAAUCAUCGAAUCUUUGAACGCACAUUGCGCCCUUUGGUAUUCCUUAGGGCAUGCCUGUUCGAGCGUCAUCUAAACCUUCAAGCCCUGCUUGGUGUUGGGUGCCUAUCCCGCCUCCGCGCGCGGACUCACCUCAAAUCCAUUGGCGGCCCCCGCGUCGGCCACGAGCGCAGCAGAAACGCGAACUCGUGAGCCCGUCCGGGCGGCUCCCAGAAGCUACACCCACCCAGUUUGACCUCGGAUCAGGUAGGGAUACCCGCUGAACUUAAGC